AACGAACGCUGGCGGCAUGCCUAACACAUGCAAGUCGAACGAGAUCUUCGGGUCUAGUGGCGCACGGGUGCGUAACGCGUGGGAAUCUGCCCUUUGGUUCGGAAUAAGAGUUGGAAACGACUGCUAAUACCGGAUGAUGACGAAAGUCCAAAGAUUUAUCGCCAGAGGAUGAGCCCGCGUAGGAUUAGCUAGUUGGUGUGGUAAAGGCGCACCAAGGCGACGAUCCUUAGCUGGUCUGAGAGGAUGAUCAGCCACACUGGGACUGAGACACGGCCCAGACUCCUACGGGAGGCAGCAGUGGGGAAUAUUAGACAAUGGGCGAAAGCCUGAUCCAGCAAUGGCGCGUGAGUGAUGAAGGCCGUAGGGUUGUAAAGCGCUUUUACCGGGGAUGAUAAUGACAGUACCGGAGGAAUAAGCUCCGGCUAACUCCGUGCCAGCCGCCGCAGUAA
This 449-nucleotide ribosomal RNA is filed under the name uncultured bacterium. Its description in RNAcentral is "partial 16S ribosomal RNA". It matches the Rfam family "Bacterial small subunit ribosomal RNA", at positions 29 to 523 of the family's 1533-position model. The record is from RNAcentral.